This is a small nuclear RNA of Cervus hanglu yarkandensis (Yarkand deer), 107 nucleotides long. NCBI's taxonomy places the organism in Eukaryota, Metazoa, Chordata, Mammalia, Artiodactyla, Cervidae. The record is from Ensembl.
AUGCUUACUUUGACAGCACGUAUGCUAAAAUUGGAACAAUACAGAAAAGAUUAACAUGGCUUCUACAUAAGUAUGAAAUGCACAUUUGUAAAAGCUUCCAUGUUUUC